GAUGAACGCUGGCGGCGUGCCUAAUACAUGCAAGUCGAGCGAACAGACGAGGAGCUUGCUCCUCUGACGUUAGCGGCGGACGGGUGAGUAACACGUGGAUAACCUACCUAUAAGACUGGGAUAACUUCGGGAAACCGGAGCUAAUACCGGAUAACAUGUUGAACCGCAUGGUUCAACAGUGAAAGACGGUUUUGCUGUCACUUAUAGAUGGAUCCGCGUCGCAUUAGCUAGUUGGUAAGGUAACGGCUUACCAAGGCAACGAUGCGUAGCCGACCUGAGAGGGGGGUAGCCCCCCCGGGAAGGGGACACCGCGCACAGGCCCCAAGGGGGGGCAGCGAGAGGGAAUCUCCGCAAAAGGGGGAAAGCGUGCAGGAGAAACGGAGGCGGGAUGAAGAAGGUCCGCGUGCGGUAAAACUGUUUUAUUGGGGAAAAAAAAAUGUGUAAGUAACUAAGCCCGUUUGGAGGGUACCUGUAAAGAAACCCCGGGUAACCAACGG
Molecule: ribosomal RNA, 497 nt
Filed under: uncultured bacterium
Lineage: Bacteria
Description: partial 16S ribosomal RNA
Rfam family: Bacterial small subunit ribosomal RNA
Source: RNAcentral